UAAUACGAAGGGGGCAAGCGUUGUUCGGAAUUACUGGGCGUAAAGGGCGCGCAGGCGGCCAAUCAAGUCAGGCGUGAAAGCCCCGGGCUCAACCUGGGAAUAGCGCUUGAGACUGGUAGGCUUGAGUUCGGGAGAGGUGAGUGGAAUUCCCAGUGUAGAGGUGAAAUUCGUAGAUAUUGGGAAGAACACCGGUGGCGAAGGCGGCUCACUGGACCGAUACUGACGCUGAGGCGCGAAAGCGUGGGGAGCAAACAGGAUUAGAUACCCUGGUAGUCCACGCCGUAAACUAUGUGUGCUAGACGUUGGGAGACCUAGUCUCUCGGUGUCGCCGCUAACGCAUUAAGCACACCGCCUGGGGAGUACGGCCGCAAGGUUA
This 376-nucleotide ribosomal RNA is filed under the name uncultured bacterium. RNAcentral describes it as "bacterial SSU rRNA". It matches the Rfam family "Bacterial small subunit ribosomal RNA", at positions 521 to 896 of the family's 1533-position model. The record is from RNAcentral.